Molecule: ribosomal RNA, 655 nt
Filed under: uncultured Alphaproteobacteria bacterium
Lineage: Bacteria; Pseudomonadati; Pseudomonadota; Alphaproteobacteria
Description: bacterial SSU rRNA
Rfam family: Bacterial small subunit ribosomal RNA
Source: RNAcentral
GUGAGUAACACGUGGGAACGUGCCCUUUGGUUCGGAACAACUCAGGGAAGCUUGGGCUAAUACCGGAUGGGCCCUUACGGGGAAGGGUUUAUGGGCGAAAGUUGGCCCGCGUCUGAUUAGCUAGUUGGUGAGGUAAUGGCUCACCAAGGCGACGAUCAGUAGCUGGUCUGAGAGGAUGAUCAGCCACAUUGGGACUGAGACACGGCCCAAACUCCUACGGGAGGCAGCAGUGGGGAAUAUUGGACAAUGGGCGCAAGCCUGAUCCAGCCAUGCCGCGUGAGUGAUGAAGGCCCUAGGGUUGUAAAGCUCUUUUGUGCGGGAAGAURAUGACGGUACCGCAAGAAUAAGCCCCGGCUAACUUCGUGCCAGCAGCCGCGGUAAUACGAAGGGGGCUAGCGUUGCUCGGAUCACUGGGGCGUAAAGGGUGCGUAGGCGGGUUUUUAAGUCAGAGGUGAAAUCCUGGGAGCUCAACUCCAGAACUGCCUUUGAUACUGAAGAUCUUGAGUUCGGGGAGAGGGUGAGUGGAACUGCGAGUGUAAAGGUGAAAUUCGUAGAUAUUCGCGAGAACACCAGUGGCGAAGCGGCUCACUGGCCCGAUACUGACGCUGAAGCACGAAAGCGUGGGGGASCAACAGGAUAGAUACCCUGGGUAUCC